Molecule: long non-coding RNA, 10708 nt
Filed under: Homo sapiens (human)
Lineage: Eukaryota; Metazoa; Chordata; Mammalia; Primates; Hominidae
Description: non-protein coding lnc-RSPH1-7:3
Source: RNAcentral
AGUGAGGCUCAGCAUGGGGCACAGAGAGGAACAGUCACCCCUCCUCUCCCAGCAGCCUGCCCAGGGCACCUGCACCCUGCAUUCUAAGAGGGACACAAGGCGCUGCUGGCGGUGUGUCUGCAGGACCCACAAGAAUGCCUGCUGGUGACGUUUCAGCAGGACUCUCCAGCAACCCCACUCCUGAGCACGUGACGAACAUAAGCCAUCUUCAUAUGCCACCAGAAGACGAGCCUCGGGAGCAGUUUUAGUUCUAAGAGCUCCAAGCUGAAAGCCGACUGCCUGUCAUCCUUGACCACCUGUCCACAAGGAAGAAGGGGUACAUUUUCCUAGAUUCACACAACUGAAUGCUACACACCCGUGAAAAAGAACAAGUUACAGGUCCAGGCAACAAUGAGGAUGAACCUCACAAACAUAACAUGAAGCAGAAGGAGGCAGACAUGAAAGAGUACAGACUGCAGCAUUCCACUCAUAGGAAGUCCAAGCAUGGGCAACGAAUCCAUGCGGCUAGAGGCUACAAGAAUUCUCCAAAGCAUUAUCUAAGUCCUGGAAGAGCAAUUACAGUUUUGGUACCAAAAGUAGGAGCGACCAGCCAGGCUCUCCCCCACAGACAACAGCACCUGCCCACGGCCAGCCUCCUGCGAUGAGUCACAGGUGCCACGUGAAAUGCAUUAUACACACUCAGGGACAGACACGCAAAUGCUCCACUCAUGAAGGAUACAGAAAUAGAUGGAGGAGCUUCUUGGUCAUUGUUUACUUCUCAAAAAUGGAAUCAUUCUAUACAUCCUUAUGCACAUGUUAACUUCUUACUCAAAGUACCUCCUGGAAAUGUUUCUGAGUCAACUGGUUUGCCUGUGAUGAAUUCUUUUAGGGACCUGCACAUUUCAUAAUACGGACUUGUGAUAAUUUAUUCAAACUUUUACCUACUUAUUAGGUUCCCUUGAUAUCCAGCAUUGUUUUUUUUUCCUUUUUGCUUUUUUUGGUCACUACAAAGCUGCCAUAAAGAUGCUUAUGAAGAUAUUCCUAAGUAAGGUGCUUUUAUUUUUAGGGUGAAAUUCCCAGAAGUAUGUCUGAAGGCUGUAGUGUUUUUUAUUUCACUGGGUGUCACCAAAAGGCGCUAACGCUUGACAUCCCAUCAAGAACGCAUGAAAACUCCUCUCCCCUCACGACCAGUGAAUAGCGCUUACUGCCCUGGGCAAUGCUGUGCCAGCCACUGAGCACAGUGUUGCCUUAAUUUGCAUAUGGAAUACCGGCAGACUCGAACACCAUUCACAUAUUUCCUGGCGAUCUGAAUUCCGUGUCUGUAAACUGCUUGUUCAUCCCCCUUGCCCGUUGUUUCUUUGGGUUUCCUAACUUCACACUCACUCCUACGAUAAACAUAAUUUUCUUCUUGGAUUUGUACUUUUUGUAUUUUACAUUCAUGUCUUUAAUCCAUUUAUUUUAUUUUACUUUUUUGAGAUGGAGUCUCACUCAUGUCACCCAGGCUGGAGUGCGGUGGUGUGGUCUCGGCUCACUGCAACAUUCGCCUCCCAGGUUCAAGCGAUUCUCAUGCGUCAGUCUCCCAAGUAGCUGGGAUUACAGGUGCCCGCCACCAUGCCCAGCUCACUUUUGUACAUUUAGUAGAGAUGGUCAGGCUGGUCUCGAACUGCUGACCUCAGGUAAUCCACCUGCCUCGGCCUCCCAAAGUGCUGGGAUUACAGGUGUGAGCCACAGUGCCCGGGCCAUUUGUUUUUAUAAAAUAGGGAUUCAACAUUUAUUUCUUCCUGACGAAUAACCAGUUGUGCCGACACCAUUUAUUAAAUUUAUUAAAUAAGCUCUGUCAAAUAUUCCAUAUUUUCUAAUCUAUUCUACUGACUUUUUUGUCUAUUCUCAUGUAAUAUCAUAAUUUGAUUAUGGUAUUAAAAUAUGUUAAUCUUUUGCAUAUUUUCAUAUCAUAAAAUGUUAUCUUUACACUUUUCUUGAUAAUUCCUGGACAUUCUUUCAUACAAACUUUAAGAUUAUUUUAUUCAAUUAAAAAAAACCCUGCUAAGAUUUUCACUGGAGUUGCAUUUUAUUUAAAUAUUAACACUGGGAGAAUUGGAACUUUCCAAAUAACAAGUUUCCCACCCAUAGUACAUACUUCCAGCUUUUCAGACUUUGUUUUCUGUCUGCCACUGAGGAUUAUUUUAUUUCAUUUUUUUUUAGAUGGAGUUUCACUUUGUCGCCCAGGCUGGAGGGCAAUGGUGCGCUCUCGGCUCACUGCAAACUUCGCCUCCCGGAUUCAAGCUAUUCUCCUGCCUCAGCCUCCCCAGUAGCUGGGAUUACAGGCGCCUGUCACCAUGCCUGGUUAAUUUUUUUUGUAUUUUUAGUAUAGAUAGGGUUUCACUAUGUUGGCCAGUUUGGUCUUGAACUCCUGACCUCAGGUGAUCCGCCCACCUCGGCCUCCCAAAGUGCUGGGAUUACAGGCGUGAGCCACUGCGCCUAGCCAGUUUUCUCCUUUUAAGUCCUGUGUGUCCAGAGAGGGGUGGGCACACUCACAUUCAAAUCAAUGCUGCCAUCCCCCUGGCUCCAGGGACCCCUGCAGUUUAAGCUUCUCCGGGAAGCCUCUGCUUUCAGGUUUCUUUUCUGGCCCAGUCCAGGUGAAAAGAGCUCGCACUAAGAUCUCUGCUGGGAGUCAGACUCACCUGUCUACCAGCUUGGGCAGACGCUUGCCUUGAGUCCUGAGGCUAGGCCACAGCUGGAGCAGCAGAUAGAAGGGACAGGGUUGCACUUAUAACACCACUAUCCUCCCAGCCCUGGUUUUAUCAUCAUCAUCGAGAAAAAUACAAUUAAUCAGCAGUGAUCAAAGUCUAGUAGAACACCUGCUUAACAACUUCCUGCCCACCCAUCACUCAGACAAAAAUGCAGCGUUCCAAGAACAAUGGAGAGCCACCUCCGCAGCCAGACCUAGGGUUGGAUCGCACGAAGAGCUGGAAUUUGGGGAACCACUUAAGACUGGAUACAUUUGGAAGGAACAGUCACACAAGAUAAAAUAAAUAUUUAGCUAAGCUUUCAAAUUCUGGAAAUGUCAACUAAUAAAACUAAAAGUCUACUACCUCUGAAAGUAUAAAUCCAAAAAACAUUUAAAAGACUUUAAUUUUAGCAAAGGGAAACCGAAAAGCCAAAGCAGCAGAAUAACUUGUUUCUACAUAAUCUGUUUCCCCAUGUACCUGCUACCAUCCCCAUCCUCUGCCCCACAAGCUUUUCAAGUGACGAACUCCUCACAGAGACGACAGGCAGUGCUUUCCAUGAUUCUUACCUUAACUAUGCUGAUAGGCUUUCGAGAUAAGUGAAAACUUGCAUACAGCAGAAAUGUCAAAAUAAAAAUGAAGGCUCUGUACCUGAAACACAAAACAGUGGGAGAGGAUGAUAUGAAAUAACAGAAGUUAUGUUAGGAAUACAUAUCACUGUGUUCUGAAACGUUCUUAUGCUGUGUAUUAUUCAUUCAGUUCUACAGCCAUUAUCAAUAUUACUUAUGUCACUAUAAUAUUGGAACAUUAAAAAAUAUUGCCACGUUUGCUUUGUCCAAAUGGAAACUGAACACUGUAAGAGACAGGAAAAACCAGACUGCUUUUCCUACCCUCAUGCACAACACACAACAUACCAUACUUCUAACACUACGUGUGUAGGGGUUUUCCCCAUAUACCAAGCAAUUCUCCAGCUGACACUGGAUGUCCUCUAAGUGAAUUCAAUUCUCACACUGUCUUCCAGGAGUCAGCAUCAGCCCCCACAGGGCGGGGCUCCGGCCGAGGCUGCCCCGCUUCACAUGCCAAUGGCAACAAGCCCCAGGUUGUGACCUGCUCCUCUGACCAACUGGCUCUCAGGGUGGUUCCCAAGAACCCCUUCUCAGGUUCGAUUAAUUUGCCAGAGCAGCUCGUAGAACUCAGGGAAACACAUUUACUGCUUUAUUAUAAACGAUGUUACAAAGAAUACAUACAGAUGAAGAGAUGCACAGGGCGAGGUAUGGGGCAGGGAGCUCGGAGCUGCUGUGCCCUCGCCAGGGCUCCACCCUCCGGGAACCUCCCCGUGCUCAGCAGCCUGCAAGCCCCCAAACGCUGUCGUUGAGGGAGUCUGUGGAGGCCUCAUUACACAGGCACGAUCGAGCAGAACACCGGCCACUGGUGAUCCACUCCACCUCUGCGGGCUCCCUCCCCUCCCCAGAGGUCCACGGGUGGAGUCCCAACCUCUAAUCACGUGGUCGGUUGCCCUGGCAACCAGUCCCCCAGGAGGUUGUCCUGGGGCCCGCCACAGUCACCUCAUUAGCAAACAAAAAGACACUCAGCACUAAAGGUUGUAGGAGCUGUGUGCCCAGAACCAGGGCCAGAGACCAAAAGCAUGUUUCUUAUUAUUACGUCACAAUAUCAAAAGCAUUCAUCUAUUUAAAGAAACCGUAACCAAAGGGAAACCUGGGACUCGAGAUGCACACUUGAGUUUACAAAGCAGAACAAGCACGAUGAAAUGUUUAGUUUACAACAAAACUAACCACAAGUUUCUGGCGUAGCCUGCUAUCCUGGGCAAUUAAGAUCAUAUUUAUUUUUGGCUCUUUGGUUUCUAUGCAACUUUUCAGAAGCACACAAGCAAGGCAGACAUAUAAAUAUUUCACGGCCCUCAAAGAGAAAAAGGCAGUGACGCUGGCAGGCUCUCAAUAGGCCAGUGACAGAAACACUGGUACAAAGCCCCUCGCUCAGUUUGGCUGGGAGAAAAGCAGCCGAAAGAGUCAGCAUGAGUGUGAGGAAGAAAGAAGAAAAGAAGGUGCCUUAGAAAGAAGACAAAGGGCAACUCCAGUCUAAGAGUCUCAACCACCGCAUAGAAAAAUACUUUUUGGGGCAACAAAAUGGGUUGGGAGAAAGAAGUAUUUGACAGGAGUGGAAGGCGAGGGGCAGCUCUUCUGUGUCCUAGGCACAUCUCCCUACCCUGGAGAACCUGUCCUGCUUGUGGCCUGGGAAGAGACUUCAAAUGGCGCCACCAACAACCUGAAUCAAUAAUUACCUAAGGCGGCGUCCUACACAGGACAAAGAAAGGCAGCGUUUCCGAGAGUCCCUGGGAUAAGGGGUUGCUUCUCCCAGCUGCGCAUCUACAUUUUUAAUGUUGUGAUUUACUCCGAGGGAAGCUUUCCACAAGUAACUAAAAUCCUAGGAUCCCAGAGCUGCCUUCUUCUCUGGUCACCAGCUAAAGUAGGGGUCAAAUAAAUAUUUCCAGAUUUUUCUUAAAAAAAAAAAGGCCAUAUUUCAGGUGGGAAAGAAAGGUUGGUGGCUCCGUGUGACACAAAACUACAACCUUUGGAAUGCCUGUGCCUUUGGGGAAGGAACCAAACCAAACCAACUCGCAGAAUACCUGCUGACUGAAGACAGAAAUUCCCCAGUGCUCUCUUCUUCAUCAGGGAACUAUCUUCCAAUGGCCUUUCUCCAAUUCUUCCUCUCCAAGCCCAUGGCAAGGGCCAAAUGGGAAAAAAGCGAAACCCUAAAAGGCGAGCCUAUCAUUUAUCCCAAAGCCCAAAGAACAAAGGCUAUGUGGGUACAGUGGAUUUGCUCCAGAAGCCCCGGCCUCUGUCCUCGUGUUUCUGAAAACCAUCCUUUCUGGCAAGGAAAGAAAGUCUCAGCGCUUUGGAUGAAGCUCUCUGUUAGGCCACCACUGCUUCUCACGCCUUCGACUGCUGGUGCAGGAAGAUUCCAGGCCACUGGGCUUCACCGGCCCUCAAUGCUCACUUGUCCAGCCCACAGCUUGACAAACUGGUCACUUCCACCCCACCUGCUGGAGCUGACUAGGGCAAGUAAGGCUGAUGGGUGACCCUGAUCGGCCCUCACUGGAGUACAGGGUUUCCUUCUCCAAUCUCCUCAAAACAGGUGAACAAAGUUCUCAGGCCAAGUUGCCUCCAGCACCUCCCCAGUCUCAGACAAGUCCAUGGACCAUCUCUCCUGCUCCAUGCAGGAGGAUUCUCCAACCACAGUGCCAGUUCUACAGGUGUUAUCACCCAGCUAGGAAGGAUUUUGAGAAGAGCAGCUCUGUCCUAUGGGCUGUGGGUUCACAUCUCCACUCUCCACCCAGACAGCCCAGAAGGAAGGCUGUCUCCCUUUGUCGGGCUGAGGUCUGAAGAGUGCUGAGGCCCCGACACACACCGCGUUCCCAAUGGUCAGGGCUGCUUGGGUGAUCAGGCCCUGGUGAUGCGUUCUGGGCUCCUGCCUUCCUCUGCGGGGUGACUCCCGGCUGGUGCUCACAGCACACGCCUAGAGAUGCCCUGAGAACACUGAGGAGCACACAAGGGGCAGCACAUGCCUCUGGAACCUUUAGUUCAGCCUUGUGUGGAGGGAGACACCUUAAUGAAUGAGACCCUUUGGGAAGAGUCACUGCCACGGUGUAGCCAGGCUGACAGAAGCCGUCCUGUAGAAUUGGGUGAAGGGUCCAUUUACACAGCAAACUGGAAUGUUCCUAAAGACUGAAGAGGAAAACGCUGUAUUUAUUUAGCUGGUGUCAGGCCAACUCUACUUCUAUUUCCAAAUUCGUCUUUCCUCUCUCAUUUCUUCAUCUUCUGUACUUAGGACUUGGGGCUUGGGGAUGGGGGACGCAGUGGCUGGAGGCUAGACUUUCCUCUUUGAAAGGUCUGACUUCAGCUCCCGUGACUAUUGCUAAACCGCGGCAGCCACACUCGGGCCGCUGCCUUGCUGGUUGUCACCCCGAUACGCCUGGCCUCUGGGUAGGCAGACGCUUCACUCUGCAGCAUGGAUGGGCUCAAACCCCCAGAAGCCAAACAGCCCUCCCGAAGUCCUUUCUUAUUUCGUAAUUCUAUCUACGUUUUCUUUAUCAUUUAUAAAGCAGAUGUUUUGGAUGAUAUGUUUCCUUUUGUUCAUUUUGUACUGGGUUGAAUAUCAUCCCCCAUAAUUUCAUGUCCACCCAAAACCUCAGAACGUGACCUUAUUUGGAAAUAGGGUCAUGUAGACAUGAUUAGCUCAGGUGAGGUCAUAUUAGAUAGAGUGAGCCCUCAUUCCAAUGACUGGCGUCCUCACCAGAAGGCCACGCAAAGACUCAGAGACAGGAAGGGAGGCCACGUGGCCACACAGGCAGAGACUGGUGUGAUGCAGCCACCAGCCAAGAACGGCGGCAGCAGCAGGAGCUGGAAGAGGCAAGGAAGGGUCUGUCCCCGGAGCCUGCAGAGGAAGUGUGGCCCUGCUGACACUUUGACUUUGGACUUCUGACCUCCAGGGAUGUGAGAGGGUAAAUUCCUGUUGUUUCAAGACACCCAGCUUGUGGUACCAUGUUACAGCAGCCCCAGGAGGCUAAUAUAAUCCUUUCAUUUUUGUUUUGUGUUAUGUUUAGACUUAUGAAUAUAAAACAAAUACAAUAAAAAAAUAAAUGAUCUAAUCUAUCUGCUCCUCAGUGUUCUGCUUACUUUUUGCAGUUAUGACUACUUAUAGCAUGCUUGGCUUCCACCAAUAUGAAAAAUCCCACAUUUCUAGCAAAAAAGCAGGUCUCAGCAAUGACAGCACCAGAUGGGGGUGCCCCUCUGGGCCUCCUCAGAGAUGUUCUGGAAGACCACGUGUUCUCAGGUGAAUGGCAGCCUGCUUAGGGUGAGAGGCUCCAUGCAAAAUAUCUGUCUCCUUGUUUGACUGUUAUUACCUCAAUCACAUGCAAAUAAGGAAUAAAGAAACACUUUUGAGAAUUACUGAGUGAUAUGAUUUGGUGCAGAAAUUAGUCCAAAGACAUCCUCUGCUUCACUCUGCAGCAUGGAUGGGCUCAAACCCCCAGAAGCCAAACAGCCCUCCCAAAAUCCUUUUUUAUUUUGUAAUUCUGUCUAUGUUUUCUGAGACAGAGAAGCGAUGCCAUGUCCUGUUCAGAGUAUCCCGUCAGAAGGUGCAGGAGGGCAGUGACACUGACGUUGGUCAUUGGUUAAAGUGCUGUCUGCCUCAUAGUUCCUCAGUGAAACCACUACGUUUCCCUCUAAGUAAUGAAUAUGGAAUUUCUGGGAACCUGCUUUGAGAUAAUGUAGAUAUCCUGUUCCUCAAGCUGCCGCCCCACGGGGUGCAUCCAUGGCGUUCUGUGCCUGCGCUGGGUACCCUGCAGCGGCUCCACAUCCCCGCUCCACCUAGCGGCCAGCUUCCACUGUACGGCGAGCGUGCAUUUCUCCUACUUCUUUAGUUAUAUCAGUAGGACUCGCCGAAUCUUACGCUAUUCAAUGGGCUAUCAUUCAUGAGUCUCAUUUAUUGUAAAUCUCAGAUUGUCCUAGAUUUGACAAGUCAGAGUCCCUUUGUUUGUAAGUACUUCCUUAUUUUCUGGCACAAGAUGUUCUGGGCUCAUCUAUUCCUUGCCCUGCCCCAGUCCUGGCAUUGGCCAGGUCUCCAAGGACUCCUGGCUCCUUUUAGUGGGAGAUGCCAUGCAGAAACCAAGAUCCCGGACCAAAGUGUGCUCACUUUAGUGCUCUUACUGUUCCCAGGACCUCCUAGCGGGGUGCAUUUUACACACACACACCCACACACACGCACACACACACCCUUCUCUAUUUCUAUAUCGACCAUCACCAGUUUAUCCCGAGAACUUUCAUUCCAAUCCAACCUCACUCAGUUCCUUCCAGUUCCCCUCCCUCUUCCCAUGCCUAUAGCUCCUUCUCCAUUAAAGAGAAAGCUGCCUCAUUUCUAUGGGAUUUCUGUCAAAAAUGCAUAAUCUGAAUCUAAUCAUGAGGAUGAGGAAAUAACAAAGUUAAAAUGUGGCACAUUCUAUAAAAUAAGUGGCUUGAACUCUUCAAACACAACAAGGCCAUUGUCUCAGAAGAAGAAGGAAAAAAAGCCAAGGUCAGAAAAGAUGAAAAAAGGCCGAGGAACAGUGCUAGAUGAAGAGACGAGACCCAUAGGAUAAUUAAACGCAAUGUAUGAACCCGAACUAGAUCCUGAACAGAAGAAGAAAUGCUAUCACAGAUAUUUGACAUUUGAUAUUGUUUUUAACAUGGACUGUGGGUUAGAUAACAGUAUCUUAUCGGUGUUAAAUUUCCUGAUUUUGAUCUUUUUGCUGUGGUUUUAUAAGAGAAUGUCUUAUUCAUAGGAAAUACACACGGAAGUAUUUACAAAUAAGAGGGUAUGAUGUCUGCAACUUACUCUCAAGUGGUUCAGAAAAGUGUGUGUGUACAAACAUACAUCUACACACAUGCACACACACACACACACACAAACACACUGUGGAGGGGCAGGGAGAGAAGCAGAUGAGGCUAAAUGUUAAUCUUUGACAUACAGCGGUUCUACAGGAACAUUCUUACAGAUGUUAGUAAGUUACGUGAGUUUGAAAUUAUAUCAAAAUAAACUUACAAAAUGAAGAAGCUAGACAUUCACUAAAUAAAACCUAAGUGUUCAGGCACUUGUGGCUAGACUCACAGCAGACAUGAAAUAAGUCAAGAAGAGAAGCAAUCUGGUUGAAGAACACAGAUGCCCUCAAAUCAAACCUGAGACACCCUGUGGAUGCUCCACCAACCAGCAGGGCUGAGAAGCUGCACAGGGCUGGGGGCUGCCAGGGGGUUGGCGUGGAGGAGAUGAAUGGGCCCAGAAUCUGCCGCUGUGGCAUCAAAAUCAUUUUGAGCAGAAGGCAUUUGCGUUCCUGAAUUCUCUUAGCUACUGAAAAGCAGAGUUCCCCAAAAGAAGUCAAAAGAAUCCAUCUGCUAUAAAUCCUGUCCCUUAGGAGGGGCCAGGGAAACAGGACUCUUACCACUGGAGAUGAGAAGCCUCCACACUGCACUGAAACAGGAAUGAUCACAAAACUACCACAUCGCCCAUCUGUUCUCUGUUCUCUUGAGGGCCCACUUGUCUUUCCAAAAAGCCAUUCGUUUGCCCACAGGUACCUUUCUCUCACUCCCCUUCCCCUGUGAAGGACGGACGGUGCAUAAGCCCAGAAUUCUAAAUGCCCCUUUGAGGGACACUUUUCUAUGACCUCUCGUACAUAAGUGGUGAAAUCUGUCUUUUCUCUUGCUAGUCUGUCUUUUGUCAGUUUAAUUCCCAGGUCCCCCAAAACAGAACCUACGAGGGUAGAAGCAAAGUUUUUCCUCUCCCAGAAGAGGUCAGCAGGACAAGUUAGAGGCCAGGGAGCCCAGCUUCAGACUCUGGGCUUGUCAACUGUUUCCUUCAAGGAGAAUGGAAUUAAUGAGGCCACCUAAGAGAAGGAUUCUCAGAAUAUGCAAGGCGAGGCACUCUCUGAACGGAAAGCAGCAUUCUGGGCUGCACCAGAACAUUUCAUUUUCUCUCUGAAAGUUCUGCCCCGGCAAGGCCACUCAUCUGAUCUCAGAGUUGUGUAACUUAUAUAUAAGUUAUGUGCUUAUUUCACCACAGCCAUUUGCUAACCCUGCUGGUAGUCAGUGGUCAUUUUUCUGUAGGGACCAUGGUUCUUAGAGAAACCACUGGAGACCACGCGGGAGCCCAAACACUAUCUGACAAUGCCAGUACCAAGGACAAAGGACACCUCAGCACUGUUCUGGGUCACGGCUUCCACCACCAAAAAGCAAUUCAACGGUUAUGGGUGAGGUCAGUGAUUCAAGUUUUAUGUGUUUUAUAAUGAAACUGGGGCAACACAACUACCUGCACAGUAGCCCUCACCUAUACACAGCUCCAUGCCAAGGGCCUGCCCCACCAGGACUCACCACUGAUCCCUGGAGAAUGAGAUGAUGAAGCGAAUGCCAGCGGGGAGUCGAGCCAUUUACGUCGCCACUGACCACUGAGCCUCGGUC